GUAACUUUAGCUCAGAUGGUAGAGCAUUUGACUUUUAAUCAAAGGGUCGGGGGUUCGAGUCCCCUAAGUUGCACCA
RNAcentral lists this transfer RNA (76 nucleotides) under Caudoviricetes sp. RNAcentral describes it as "tRNA-Lys". It matches the Rfam family "tRNA". Rfam says of the family: Transfer RNA (tRNA) molecules are approximately 80 nucleotides in length. Their secondary structure includes four short double-helical elements and three loops (D, anti-codon, and T loops). The record is from RNAcentral. Lineage: Duplodnaviria; Heunggongvirae; Uroviricota; Caudoviricetes.